Molecule: long non-coding RNA, 1265 nt
Organism: Canis lupus familiaris (dog)
Lineage: Eukaryota; Metazoa; Chordata; Mammalia; Carnivora; Canidae
Exons: 2
Source: RefSeq, a predicted model, not a curated record
AUGGAGCUGCAGCAUCUUAGUCUCAGGCCUGGGAGGGGGAAGGGAGCGCAGUGGAGGGAGGAGGGAGCCAUUUCUCUCCACUGGCUGCAACCUCCCAGCUCCCAGCUCCCGUCUGCCCGGAAUCCAGAGGCCUCCUCAGCCCAGGACUCCAUAAUGCUGGAUAUUUUCAUCCUGAUGUUCUUUGCCAUCAUAGGCCUGGUCAUUCUGUCCUACAUUAUCUAUCUGCUCUAGUGGCCUGCAGCUGCGCCGGGAGCCCUCAGAACAGCUCAGGGGGAAAGGAUGAAGCUGACUGGCCGAGCAUCCUGCUUUGCUGACGCACCGGUGGAUUUUUGCUUCUGGUCAUUAUUUCGGCUCCCGGUCUCCAGUCCAGCCAGAGGCCUCUUAUCAGCAGCAACAGUCCUGCUGCCCAGCAGACCUCUUCCAGAGCCUUCCGGAUAUGGCUAACCACCAUCGAGCAAGGGGCUUUCUGAGCUCCAAGGCAGAGGCCCUCAUCUGGGACCUCAGGAAUUCGUGGGCAUGGCUGGCAGAUACUGUGUGUUCUAACUGUAGAUAGAGGGUGUUGAGGCACAGAGCUGAAAUGUAGACUCAUUAAACUUACCAUGGAGAACUGCUCAAAUAUUCAUUCUUGACAGCCUUUCUUUAGGGUGUAAAUGCAACAUAUGAUGCUAGAACAUGUUCUUUCCUUUCCGUUCCACACGUAGGGGGCCCCUUGUAAGUUCAAGAGCUCAUCGUCUAUCUUCAUCUAUGAAGCGGUCACUUUAUCACUGUCUUUGCAGACUGCACCGUGUGAGCUUGUGUGGUAUCCCUUGUCUCACUCUCCAGCCAGAAGGAACUUGUCGUUUGAAUUUUUAAGAUUUAUCAUAGUUUCUUCCACUCCAUACCACUUGUGCCCCAGCUUCUCGUUUCAAGAGAGAAAUUGUUACAUAAUCCUCAUUGUUGUGACUAGCUGAAUUAUAAAUUAUAGAAAUAGGGUAGCUAUACAUCAUCUCACUUGUUAUUUGGGGAAAAAUCUCUCUCUUACUCCCAAAUAAGUGUGUUUUUUUUUUUUUUUAUAUAUUGUCAAAUGUUCCUUGUCUGGAAAAAAAGCUUUCAACAUAUUUCUUUUUUUUUUUUUGUCCAAUUAGGGUUGAAGAAACCAUAUAUUUUAGAGUCCAGAGUAGAUUGGGCUCCAAAUCUGUAAUACCCAGUCCUUUGAAAAGUCCAUCAUCAUUGUUCUACAUUUGAUUUUCCUUUCUAGCUUAAAAAUAAACCGGGAGAAAGAUUAA